RNAcentral lists this long non-coding RNA (280 nucleotides) under Homo sapiens (human). RNAcentral describes it as "non-protein coding lnc-OR10Q1-1:1". The record is from RNAcentral. Lineage: Eukaryota; Metazoa; Chordata; Mammalia; Primates; Hominidae.
GAAUUUGGUUAGGUGGCUGAUGGAAUGAAGCAAAUUUCAAAGUGACGGAGUCUAAUGGAGUGCAAUGGCUCGAUCUCGGCUUACUGCGACCUCCGCCUCGCAGGUUCAAGCGAUUCCCCUGCCUCAGCCUCCCGAGUAGCUGGGACUACAGGCAUGCACCACCACGCCCAGCUAAUUUUUUGUAUUUUAGUAGAGACGGGGUUUCACCAUGUUGGCCAGUAUGGUCUCGAUCUCCCGACCUCGUGAUCUGCCCGCCUCAGCCUCCCAACGUGCUGGGAUU